RNAcentral lists this long non-coding RNA (374 nucleotides) under Elaeis guineensis (African oil palm). RNAcentral describes it as "long non-coding RNA (EGUI_LNC041762)". The record is from RNAcentral. Lineage: Eukaryota; Viridiplantae; Streptophyta; Magnoliopsida; Arecales; Arecaceae.
CUUAUUCAAAUUAUGGAUCCAAUCUAAGAAGGUGAGAUCACACCAGUAAAUGGAUUUUUCUUUUCCUUUUUUUUUUCUUUUUUUCUUUCUCUCUAUUUUUUUCUCUUCUUCUCUCCCUCUUUAACAUUUUUUUUCCUUUUCUCUUUCUCUUUUCCUUUCUCUCUCUCUCUUCCUCUCUUUUUUCUUCUUUUGUUUAUUCCUCUCAUCUCUUUUGGCAAAAAUAGGGGUCCAGUGGCAUUUAGGAAGGGUGGAGAGAAGGAGAAGGGGAAUGGGGUCCAAUGGGUGUGUAGCCAGAGUGGCCGAUAAUGGUGGCAUAGCCGGCUAUGCCAAUUCAUGGUGGUAAUGGAGGCCAAUCAACCUCGGAUCAAGGGUAC